This 92-nucleotide microRNA precursor is filed under the name Canis lupus familiaris (dog). RNAcentral describes it as "mir-8799 microRNA precursor family". It matches the Rfam family "mir-8799 microRNA precursor family". The record is from Rfam by way of RNAcentral. Lineage: Eukaryota; Metazoa; Chordata; Mammalia; Carnivora; Canidae.
GGGGUGAGCGCCGGAUCUUGGGCUGUGUCCCCGGUGCCCUGUGCUCCCGGGCCUGCGCUCUUGGAAUUGCACUCCCGGCCACACAGCUCCCU